RNAcentral lists this ribosomal RNA (499 nucleotides) under uncultured bacterium. Its description in RNAcentral is "partial 16S ribosomal RNA". It matches the Rfam family "Bacterial small subunit ribosomal RNA", at positions 28 to 507 of the family's 1533-position model. The record is from RNAcentral.
GACGAACGCUGGCGGCGUGCUUAACACAUGCAAGUCGAACGGGCCUGUCUUCUUUUUUGGGGGUGGGUUGAGUGGCGAACGGGUGAGUAUCACGUGAGUAACCUGCCCUUCGGUCCUGGAUAACCGCUUGAAAGGGCGGCUAAUACGGGGUGGUCCGGUUGGUCCGCAUGGGCUGGUCGGGAUAGAUUCACUGUUUUUGGUGUUUCGGCGGGGGCUGGGGUCGCGGCCUAUCAGCUUGUUGGUGGGGUGAUGGCCUACCAAGGCGGUGACGGGUAGCCGGCCUGAGAGGGUGGGCGGCCAUACGGGGACUGAGGUACGGCCCAGACUCCUGCGGGAGGCAGCAGUGGGGGGUAUUGCACAAUGGGCGGAAGCCUGAUGCAGCGACGUCGCGUGAGGGAUGGAGGCCUUCGGGUUGUGAACCUCUGUUUCCGGUGGUGAAGGCCCUGUCCGUGUGGUGGGGUUGACGGUAGCCGGGGAUGAAGCGCCGGCUAACUACGUG